CUACGGGAGGCAGCAGGCGAGAAAACUUUGCAAUGUGCGAAAGCACGACAAGGUUAAUCCGAGUGGUUUCUGCUAAAGGAACCUUUUGACAGUCCUAGAAACACUGUUGAAUAAGGGGUGGGCAAGUUCUGGUGUCAGCCGCCGCGGUAAAACCAGCACCUCAAGUGGUCAGGAUGAUUAUUGGGCCUAAAGCAUCCGUAGCCGGCUCUGUAAGUUUUCGGUUAAAUCUGUACGCUCAACGUACAGGCUGCCGGGAAUACUGCAGGGCUAGGGAGUGGGGGAGGUAGACGGUACUCGGUAGGAAGGGGUAAAAUCCUUUGAUCUAUUGAUGACCACCUGUGGCGAAGGCGGUCUACCAGAACACGUCCGACGGUGAGGGAUGAAAGCUGGGGGAGCAAACCGGAUUAGAUACCCCCGUAGUC
RNAcentral lists this ribosomal RNA (422 nucleotides) under uncultured archaeon. RNAcentral's name for it is "partial 16S ribosomal RNA". It matches the Rfam family "Archaeal small subunit ribosomal RNA", at positions 323 to 746 of the family's 1478-position model. The record is from RNAcentral.